GCUGGGCGUGGUGGCGCAUGCCUAUAGUCCCAGCUACUCAGGAGGCUGAGGUAGGAGAAUCGCUUGAACUCGGGAGGUGGAGGUGGAGGUUGCAGUGAGCCGAGAUCGCGCCACUGCACUGCAGCUGGGAGACAGAACGAGACUCCAUCUCUUUUUUGUGUUUUUUUUUUGAGACGGAGUCUCACUCUGUCCCCCAGGCUGGAGUGCAGUGGCGUGAUCUCGGCUCACUGCAAGCUCCGCCUCCCGGGUUCACGCCAUUCUCCUGCCUCAG
Molecule: signal recognition particle RNA, 271 nt
Filed under: Gorilla gorilla gorilla (western lowland gorilla)
Lineage: Eukaryota; Metazoa; Chordata; Mammalia; Primates; Hominidae
Description: Metazoan signal recognition particle RNA
Rfam family: Metazoan signal recognition particle RNA
About the family: The signal recognition particle (SRP) is a universally conserved ribonucleoprotein. It is involved in the co-translational targeting of proteins to membranes. The eukaryotic SRP consists of a 300-nucleotide 7S RNA and six proteins: SRPs 72, 68, 54, 19, 14, and 9.
Source: Rfam by way of RNAcentral